This 680-nucleotide ribosomal RNA is filed under the name uncultured bacterium. RNAcentral describes it as "bacterial SSU rRNA". It matches the Rfam family "Bacterial small subunit ribosomal RNA", at positions 8 to 720 of the family's 1533-position model. The record is from RNAcentral.
AGAGUUUGAUCAUGGCUCAGAAUCAACGCUGGCGGCGCGCCUAACACAUGCAAGUCGAACGAGAAAGGGGAGCAAUCCCUGAGUAAAGUGGCGCACUGGUGAGUAACACGUGGGUCAUCCACCCUUUGGCGGGGAAUAACCCUGGGAAACUGGGGAUAAUACCGCAUAAGUCCGAGAGGAGAAAGUCGAAAGACACCGAAGGAGGAGCCCGCGCCCGAUUAGCUAGUUGGUGAGGUAAGAGCUCACCAAGGCGACGAUCGGUAGCCGGCCUGAGAGGGCACACGGCCACACUGGCACUGAAACACGGGCCAGACUCCUACGGGAGGCAGCAGUGGGGAAUCUUGCACAAUGGGGGAAACCCUGAUGCAGCGACGCCGCGUGAACGAUGAAGCCCUUCGGGGUGUAAAGUUCUUUCGGCAGGGACGAUAAUGACGGUACCUGCAGAAGCAGCUGCGGCUAACUACGUGCCAGCAGCCGCGGUAAUACGUAGGCAGCAAGCGUUGUUCGGAAUUACUGGGCGUAAAGAGUGCGUAGGCGGUUGGCUAAGUUUGAUGUGAAAUCUCCCGGCUUAACUGGGAGGGUGCGUCGAAAACUGGUCAGCUAGAGUGCGGGAGAGGAUAGUGGAAUUCCUGGUGUAGCGGUGAAAUGCGUAGAUAUCAGGAGGAACACCUGAGGUGUAG